This is a long non-coding RNA of Rosa rugosa (rugosa rose), 927 nucleotides long. RefSeq lists it as uncharacterized. The record is from RefSeq and is a predicted model, not a curated record. The transcript has 6 exons. Lineage: Eukaryota; Viridiplantae; Streptophyta; Magnoliopsida; Rosales; Rosaceae.
AUUUGUGGGUUUUCCAUUGUUUUGUUUUUUGGUGAAAUUGGGUUUUGGGUUUGGUUUGUUUGAUCGUCGAUUGUGGAAAUUGAAAAUGAGGGUAUGGUUUUUGCUUGAUUGUUCACUACAAAAAAGAAUUGCAAUGGCUACACAUGGAUAGCGUCAGUAGCCAAAAGGAGCAUUGGCUUUGAGGUAUUGAAUAUAAUUUCAUUCAUAGUUGAAGGGUUUUGGGUUGAAUAGAAUUUCAUUCAUGCCUGAAGGGACGUUCUGUUACAGUGAAUCUCUGAUAUAGUUGAAUUUGCAGAAAUUGCUGGAUGCUUACAGAGGUUAAAAAGCUCAGAGAAGCAGAAUAUUUGCAGGCAUUUCAACUCUGACCAUCCCUGUGCAGUUCCAAGCAAACAAAAUGGACUCAAUUUGGAUAAAUACUGACAAACCAAGGGACAUUGUUUAACGUUUAUGAGCCAAAGAAGAACGAUCUAAACUUUGCACUCAAAGAAGAAGUGUGAAAGCCAAGAUUGGGAAGCUACUGUUCACUGUUGUCAGCAAGCUCUUAUUGUUUGCACUUUGAGUUUUGACACCUCCACAUUUGAACUAUGUAUUGCUGGAGCUAUCAUUGUCAAGUUUCCUGUUUUGGGGAGCUCAUCUCCGGGACCUUCCAAUACCAAAGUUUUUGGCCAUUUUGUCAGCAUGGGAUUUUCCAAUAAUGGGGGCAAACUACUUUGAAGCUACUGUCAAAUGGUUGCCAAAGCUAUUCAGGAACAUGGCGAGGAAAGCGCCGAUUCAAUCCGUCACAUCAUUGUUUUCAGCAAUAGUACUAUCUUCAACUGUCGAGAUCUCAGCCUCAUUCUGUUUUACAUGCUUUGACAGUCCUUUGAGAUCAGAUAGACAAGUUUCUUAGCUCCAUGAUGAAAACAUGUCAUUGUUACUUUCCUUUUU